AUUGAACGCUGGCGGAAUGCUUUACACAUGCAAGUCGAACGGCAGCACGGACUUCGGUCUGGUGGCGAGUGGCGAACGGGUGAGUAAUGUAUCGGAACGUGCCCAGUCGUGGGGGAUAACGUAGUGAAAAUUACGCUAAUACCGCAUACGAUCUAUGGAUGAAAGCGGGGGAUCGCAAGACCUCGCGCGAUUGGAGCGGCCGAUAUCAGAUUAGGUAGUUGGGGGGGGAAAGGCCCACCAAGCCAACGAUCUGUAGCUGGUCUGAGAGGACGACCAGCCACACUGGAGCUGAGACACGGUCCAGACUCCUACGGGAGGCAGCAGUGGGGAAUUUUGGACAAUGGGCGAAAGCCUGAUCCAGCCAUUCCGCGUGCAGGAUGAAGGCCCUCGGGUUGUAAACUGCCUUUGUACAGAACGAAAAGGUUUCUACUAAUACUAGGAGCUCAUGACGGUACUGUAAGAAUAAGCACCGGCUAACUACGUGCCAGCCGCCGCCGUAA
RNAcentral lists this ribosomal RNA (500 nucleotides) under uncultured bacterium. Its description in RNAcentral is "partial 16S ribosomal RNA". It matches the Rfam family "Bacterial small subunit ribosomal RNA", at positions 30 to 523 of the family's 1533-position model. The record is from RNAcentral.